RNAcentral lists this ribosomal RNA (297 nucleotides) under uncultured Synechococcus sp. RNAcentral's name for it is "partial 16S ribosomal RNA". It matches the Rfam family "Bacterial small subunit ribosomal RNA", at positions 1239 to 1533 of the family's 1533-position model. The record is from RNAcentral. Lineage: Bacteria; Bacillati; Cyanobacteriota; Cyanophyceae; Synechococcales; Synechococcaceae.
ACAAAGAGCAGCAAGUUCGCGAGGACAAGCAAAUCUCAUAAACCGUGGCUCAGCUCAGAUCGUAGGCUGCAACUCGCCUACGUGAAGGAGGAAUCGCUAGUAAUCGCAGGUCAGCAUACUGCGGUGAAUACGUUCCCGGGCCUUGUACACACCGCCCGUCACACCAUGGAAGUUGGCCACGCCCGAAGCCGUUACUCCAACCCUUGUGGAGGAGGACGUCGAAGGUGGGGCUGAUGACUGGGGUGAAGUCGUAACAAGGUAGCCGUACCGGAAGGUGCGGCUGGAUCACCUCCUAAC